This 312-nucleotide unclassified non-coding RNA is filed under the name Hevea brasiliensis (rubber tree). Lineage: Eukaryota; Viridiplantae; Streptophyta; Magnoliopsida; Malpighiales; Euphorbiaceae. The record is from RNAcentral.
GUUAGCUCGAGGCUAGCGCCGGCGCCGUCACCUUGCCGGAAAAUUCAAGAAUAGCAAGUGGGGAAAAGCAAUUUUCAGUUUCGGUGUGCCAUAAGAAGUUGUUCUGUAAAUCAGAAUGGCCAAACGUGAACUAUCCGGUACCUUGAGGAACUUGAAGUUUAUGCAAAGGGCUUCUCUCAGAGAGGAAAAGCCCAAGAAGGAAGAAGAAGUGAUACCUGAUGGAAACUUCUCCUCCUCUAGUGCUCCCAAAAGAUGUGUUAUCAUUAUGGAAGGGGAUCCCCAUCCUGGGGCUAUAAAAGGUCGGAUGUCUUU